Rosa chinensis is the source of this 1199-nucleotide long non-coding RNA. RefSeq lists it as uncharacterized. The transcript has 5 exons. The record is from RefSeq and is a predicted model, not a curated record. NCBI's taxonomy places the organism in Eukaryota, Viridiplantae, Streptophyta, Magnoliopsida, Rosales, Rosaceae.
AUCAGAAUCAUCGAAGAUUCCGAGGCGAGUACGAAACUACGAACCGACCAGAGAGGUUUGAUUCCCAAACAAAGGAUAUCCUUUGCUGUUCCGAGUCAAAACCUUCAGAAAAGGACGUUUCUUGUUCCUGUCAAUGAAAGAAGCAAAAAAUUGAAACAAAAGUGACGCAGUUGAAGGAUGGCGGCGAGUUCCGCAAGAUUUUCAUCUGCUGGGGAAGAAAGAAAUGGAGAAGGAAGAGGAGUUAAAGGAGACCCAGAUCAUACACAAAUGAUAAACAAGCUUGCUGGUGCUGUGAUGGAGAAGUUUGCAUUUUCAGACCCUCCAAAACACUCACACCGGAUCAGAAGAAUGAUAUCAAAUGACAUCUUUGUAGACUCUUACCUGUGUUUCACACGCCCGAUCACCCCACCUAUGCCGUGAUGAUACGCAGGGCAAUUGAGGAGUUGAAUGAGGAACGGGGGUCAACUGAAGAAGCAAUAUCAAAAUUUAUUAGAGAGAAGUUUGACGGUUUGCCAUUGGCUCAUGCAAGUUUCUUGAGUCUUCACUUGAAGAAGCUAAACGAGAGGGGAGAAAUUGUUUGUGUAUCAAAAAAUUGUUAUAUGCUUCCAACUGAUAAAGGUGAUUCUCUUUCUAGAAGAAAGCGUGUCCCGAAACAAAAGAAGACUCGGAAGGGUUGGGGAAAAAGAAAAUCAGCUAAAGGAAAAGAACAUAAAACAUUAGCAGAAGAACAAGUUGAAGUGACUGAGAAACAGAGAAAGCAGGGGAAGCAAAGUCAAAAACCACAGUAUUGUAAGGCAGUUGACAACCAAACUGGAGCUCCAGAGCAAGUCAAUGGACAACAAUGUCAAAGAAAAAUGGAAGAAAUUGCUGCAAUUGCUGAAAAGAAAAGAACAAAUUGAAGAAGAUCAGCAGAGUAAGGUGAUUGAUUGAUAAAAAAGAAUCUCCUGAUGCACAGCAAGGAGAAGUAAUUAAACAACAAAUUCAAGGUAUUGCAGUCAUUGUUGUUCCCCGAAAUUCCGCAGAACAGAAAUAUAUAAAGUCCCCGAAGAACAACAAGUUGAAGUGACUGAACAACAGCAGCAGCACAGGCAGCAAAUUCAAGAACUGAUUCGAGAAGAACAGCAUAGUAUGGUAAUUGACUGUCAAAAUGGAUCUCCAGAUGAAGAAAAUGUACAGUAAGAUGAAGUGAAUAGGCUGAA